GCAUUCGUCGUGUACUGGAAGCACGUCUGGCUGUAAUCGAGAAGAUCGAAGUUCGAAUCCUGGCGAAGGCA
Molecule: transfer RNA, 71 nt
Filed under: Stegodyphus mimosarum
Lineage: Eukaryota; Metazoa; Arthropoda; Arachnida; Araneae; Eresidae
Rfam family: tRNA
About the family: Transfer RNA (tRNA) molecules are approximately 80 nucleotides in length. Their secondary structure includes four short double-helical elements and three loops (D, anti-codon, and T loops).
Source: Rfam by way of RNAcentral